Molecule: ribosomal RNA, 465 nt
Filed under: uncultured bacterium
Lineage: Bacteria
Description: bacterial SSU rRNA
Rfam family: Bacterial small subunit ribosomal RNA
Source: RNAcentral
CCCAGACUCCUACGGGAGGCAGCAGUGAGGAAUAUUGGUCAAUGGGCGCGAGCCUGAACCAGCCAAGUAGCGUGAAGGAUGACUGCCCUACGGGUUGUAAACUUCUUUUAUAAAGGAAUAAAGUGAGGCACGUGUGCCUUUUUGUAUGUACUUUAUGAAUAAGGAUCGGCUAACUCCGUGCCAGCAGCCGCGGUAAUACGGAGGAUGCGAGCGUUAUCCGGAUUUAUUGGGUUUAAAGGGUGCGCAGGCGGAAUGUCAAGUCAGCGGUAAAAUUUCGGGGCUCAACCCCGUCGUGCCGUUGAAACUGGCGUUCUUGAGUGAGCGAGAAGUACGCGGAAUGCGUGGUGUAGCGGUGAAAUGCAUAGAUAUCACGCAGAACUCCGAUUGCGAAGGCAGCGUACCGGCGCCCAACUGACGCUGAAGCACGAAGGCGUGGGUAUCGAACAGGAUUAGAUACCCGGGUAA